AUUGAACGCUGGCGGCAGGCCUAACACAUGCAAGUCGAACGGUAACAGGAAGCAGCUUGCUGCUUCGCUGACGAGUGGCGGACGGGUGAGUAAUGUCUGGGAAGCUGCCUGAUGGAGGGGGAUAACUACUGGAAACGGUAGCUAAUACCGCAUAAUGUCGCAAGACCAAAGAGGGGGACCUUCGGGCCUCUUGCCAUCGGAUGUGCCCAGAUGGGAUUAGCUUGUUGGUGGGGUAACGGCUCACCAAGGCGACGAUCCCUAGCUGGUCUGAGAGGAUGACCAGCCACACUGGAACUGAGACACGGUCCAGACUCCUACGGGAGGCAGCAGUGGGGAAUAUUGCACAAUGGGCGCAAGCCUGAUGCAGCCAUGCCGCGUGUAUGAAGAAGGCCUUCGGGUUGUAAAGUACUUUCAGAGGGGAGGAAGGGAGUAAAGUUAAUACCUUUGCUAAUUGACGUUACCCGCAGAAGAAGCACCGGCUAACUCCGUG
RNAcentral lists this ribosomal RNA (490 nucleotides) under uncultured bacterium. Its description in RNAcentral is "partial 16S ribosomal RNA". It matches the Rfam family "Bacterial small subunit ribosomal RNA", at positions 30 to 507 of the family's 1533-position model. The record is from RNAcentral.